CCUACGGGAGGCAGCAGUGGGGAAUAUUGGACAAUGGGGGCAACCCUGAUCCAGCCAUGCCGCGUGUGUGAAGAAGGCCCUCGGGUUGUAAAGCACUUUCAGUGAGGAAGAACGCCUGGUGGUUAAUACCCAUCAGGAAAGACAUCACUCACAGAAGAAGCACCGGCUAACUCCGUGCCAGCAGCCGCGGUAAUACGGAGGGUGCGAGCGUUAAUCGGAAUUACUGGGCGUAAAGCGCGCAUAGGUGGCUUGAUAAGCCGGUUGUGAAAGCCCCGGGCUCAACCUGGGAACGGCAUCCGGAACUGUCAAGCUAGAGUGCAGGAGAGGAAGGUAGAAUUCCCGGUGUAGCGGUGAAAUGCGUAGAGAUCGGGAGGAAUACCAGUGGCGAAGGCGGCCUUCUGGACUGACACUGACACUGAGGUGCGAAAGCGUGGGUAGCAAACAGGAUUAGAUACCCCAGUAGUC
RNAcentral lists this ribosomal RNA (465 nucleotides) under Vreelandella stevensii. RNAcentral's name for it is "partial 16S ribosomal RNA". It matches the Rfam family "Bacterial small subunit ribosomal RNA", at positions 338 to 795 of the family's 1533-position model. Lineage: Bacteria; Pseudomonadati; Pseudomonadota; Gammaproteobacteria; Oceanospirillales; Halomonadaceae. The record is from RNAcentral.